This 483-nucleotide ribosomal RNA is filed under the name uncultured bacterium. RNAcentral describes it as "bacterial SSU rRNA". It matches the Rfam family "Bacterial small subunit ribosomal RNA", at positions 49 to 529 of the family's 1533-position model. The record is from RNAcentral.
UUACACAUGCAAGUCGAACGGUAACAGGUCUUCGGAUGCUGACGAGUGGCGAACGGGUGAGUAAUACAUCGGAACGUGCCUGGUAGUGGGGGAUAACUACUCGAAAGAGUAGCUAAUACCGCAUGAGAUCUACGGAUGAAAGCAGGGGACCUUCGGGCCUUGUGCUACCAGAGCGGCUGAUGGCAGAUUAGGUAGUUGGUGGGGUAAAGGCUUACCAAGCCUGCGAUCUGUAGCUGGUCUGAGAGGACGACCAGCCACACUGGGACUGAGACACGGCCCAGACUCCUACGGGAGGCAGCAGUGGGGAAUUUUGGACAAUGGGCGAAAGCCUGAUCCAGCAAUGCCGCGUGCAGGAUGAAGGCCCUCGGGUUGUAAACUGCUUUUGUACGGAACGAAAAGCCUGGGGCUAAUAUCCCCGGGUCAUGACGGUACCGUAAGAAUAAGCACCGGCUAACUACGUGCCANCAGCCNCGNUAAUANAAA